GUAUGUAGCUCAGUGGUAGAGCACUUGACUAGCAUGCACAAGGUCCUGGGUUGGAUCUCCAGCACCACA
This 69-nucleotide transfer RNA is filed under the name Marmota monax (woodchuck). RNAcentral's name for it is "tRNA.Ala". Lineage: Eukaryota; Metazoa; Chordata; Mammalia; Rodentia; Sciuridae. The record is from RNAcentral.